Molecule: unclassified non-coding RNA, 209 nt
Filed under: Hevea brasiliensis (rubber tree)
Lineage: Eukaryota; Viridiplantae; Streptophyta; Magnoliopsida; Malpighiales; Euphorbiaceae
Source: RNAcentral
AAAAUUUUAUUUAAGAGAUUUAGAGAAUUUUUUAAUUGGUGAAUAUAUUGAUAUGUUAGGAAGAUGGUAUAUAUAGAGAGGGAAUGGGAGUUUUGUUUUUUAUUUUUGAUUUUUGAUUUAUGGAUUAUUUUUAUUUGGUUAUUAUUAAUUGUAUAUUUUAAAAUAAAUUAGUAAUAGUAAAUAAAGUAUUUUGAUGAGUUUUGAGAGUU